GUGGGGAAUUUUGGACAAUGGGCGCAAGCCUGAUCCAGCCAUUCCGCGUGCAGGAUGAAGGCCUUCGGGUUGUAAACUGCUUUUGUACGGAACGAAAAGCCUCUGGUUAAUACCCGGGGGUCAUGACGGUACCGUAAGAAUAAGCACCGGCUAACUACGUGCCAGCAGCCGCGGUAAUACGUAGGGUGCGAGCGUUAAUCGGAAUUACUGGGCGUAAAGCGUGCGCAGGCGGUGAUGUAAGACAGUUGUGAAAUCCCAGGGCUCAACCUGGGAACUGCAUCUGUGACUGCAUUGCUGGAGUGCGGCAGAGGGGGAUGGAAUUCCGCGUGUAGCAGUGAAAUGCGUAGAUAUGCGGAGGAACACCGAUGGCGAAGGCAAUCCCCUGGGCCUGCACUGACGCUCAUGCACGAAAGCGUGGGGAGCAAACAGGAUUAGAUACCCUGGUAGUCC
This 450-nucleotide ribosomal RNA is filed under the name uncultured bacterium. RNAcentral describes it as "partial 16S ribosomal RNA". It matches the Rfam family "Bacterial small subunit ribosomal RNA", at positions 354 to 796 of the family's 1533-position model. The record is from RNAcentral.